UACGUAGGGGGCAAGCGUUGUCCGGAAUUAUUGGGCGUAAAGAGCGUGUAGGCGGCCAGAUAAGUCCGCUGUGAAAUCUCGAGGCUCAACUUCGAGCUGUCGGUGGAAACGAUCUGGCUAGAGUCCGGAAGAGGAGAAUGGAAUUCCUGGUGUAGCGGUGAAAUGCGCAGAUAUCAGGAAGAACACCCGUGGCGAAGGCGGUUCUCUGGGACGGUACUGACGCUGAGACGCGAAAGCGUGGGGAGCGAACAGG
This 253-nucleotide ribosomal RNA is filed under the name uncultured bacterium. RNAcentral describes it as "partial 16S ribosomal RNA". It matches the Rfam family "Bacterial small subunit ribosomal RNA", at positions 524 to 776 of the family's 1533-position model. The record is from RNAcentral.